RNAcentral lists this ribosomal RNA (2248 nucleotides) under Staphylococcus aureus VET0297R. RNAcentral's name for it is "bacterial LSU rRNA". It matches the Rfam family "Bacterial large subunit ribosomal RNA", at positions 3 to 2249 of the family's 2925-position model. Lineage: Bacteria; Bacillati; Bacillota; Bacilli; Caryophanales; Staphylococcaceae. The record is from RNAcentral.
UUAAGUUAUUAAGGGCGCACGGUGGAUGCCUUGGCACUAGAAGCCGAUGAAGGACGUUACUAACGACGAUAUGCUUUGGGGAGCUGUAAGUAAGCUUUGAUCCAGAGAUUUCCGAAUGGGGAAACCCAGCAUGAGUUAUGUCAUGUUAUCGAUAUGUGAAUACAUAGCAUAUCAGAAGGCACACCCGGAGAACUGAAACAUCUUAGUACCCGGAGGAAGAGAAAGAAAAUUCGAUUCCCUUAGUAGCGGCGAGCGAAACGGGAAGAGCCCAAACCAACAAGCUUGCUUGUUGGGGUUGUAGGACACUCUAUACGGAGUUACAAAGGACGACAUUAGACGAAUCAUCUGGAAAGAUGAAUCAAAGAAGGUAAUAAUCCUGUAGUCGAAAAUGUUGUCUCUCUUGAGUGGAUCCUGAGUACGACGGAGCACGUGAAAUUCCGUUGGAAUCUGGGAGGACCAUCUCCUAAGGCUAAAUACUCUCUAGUGACCGAUAGUGAACCAGUACCGUGAGGGAAAGGUGAAAAGCACCCCGGAAGGGGAGUGAAAUAGAACCUGAAACCGUGUGCUUACAAGUAGUCAGAGCCCGUUAAUGGGUGAUGGCGUGCCUUUUGUAGAAUGAACCGGCGAGUUACGAUUUGAUGCAAGGUUAAGCAGUAAAUGUGGAGCCGUAGCGAAAGCGAGUCUGAAUAGGGCGUUUAGUAUUUGGUCGUAGACCCGAAACCAGGUGAUCUACCCUUGGUCAGGUUGAAGUUCAGGUAACACUGAAUGGAGGACCGAACCGACUUACGUUGAAAAGUGAGCGGAUGAACUGAGGGUAGCGGAGAAAUUCCAAUCGAACCUGGAGAUAGCUGGUUCUCUCCGAAAUAGCUUUAGGGCUAGCCUCAAGUGAUGAUUAUUGGAGGUAGAGCACUGUUUGGACGAGGGGCCCCUCUCGGGUUACCGAAUUCAGACAAACUCCGAAUGCCAAUUAAUUUAACUUGGGAGUCAGAACAUGGGUGAUAAGGUCCGUGUUCGAAAGGGAAACAGCCCAGACCACCAGCUAAGGUCCCAAAAUAUAUGUUAAGUGGAAAAGGAUGUGGCGUUGCCCAGACAACUAGGAUGUUGGCUUAGAAGCAGCCAUCAUUUAAAGAGUGCGUAAUAGCUCACUAGUCGAGUGACACUGCGCCGAAAAUGUACCGGGGCUAAACAUAUUACCGAAGCUGUGGAUUGUCCUUUGGACAAUGGUAGGAGAGCGUUCUAAGGGCGUUGAAGCAUGAUCGUAAGGACAUGUGGAGCGCUUAGAAGUGAGAAUGCCGGUGUGAGUAGCGAAAGACGGGUGAGAAUCCCGUCCACCGAUUGACUAAGGUUUCCAGAGGAAGGCUCGUCCGCUCUGGGUUAGUCGGGUCCUAAGCUGAGGCCGACAGGCGUAGGCGAUGGAUAACAGGUUGAUAUUCCUGUACCACCUAUAAUCGUUUUAAUCGAUGGGGGGACGCAGUAGGAUAGGCGAAGCGUGCGAUUGGAUUGCACGUCUAAGCAGUAAGGCUGAGUAUUAGGCAAAUCCGGUACUCGUUAAGGCUGAGCUGUGAUGGGGAGAAGACAUUGUGUCUUCGAGUCGUUGAUUUCACACUGCCGAGAAAAGCCUCUAGAUAGAAAAUAGGUGCCCGUACCGCAAACCGACACAGGUAGUCAAGAUGAGAAUUCUAAGGUGAGCGAGCGAACUCUCGUUAAGGAACUCGGCAAAAUGACCCCGUAACUUCGGGAGAAGGGGUGCUCUUUAGGGUUAACGCCCAGAAGAGCCGCAGUGAAUAGGCCCAAGCGACUGUUUAUCAAAAACACAGGUCUCUGCUAAACCGUAAGGUGAUGUAUAGGGGCUGACGCCUGCCCGGUGCUGGAAGGUUAAGAGGAGUGGUUAGCUUCUGCGAAGCUACGAAUCGAAGCCCCAGUAAACGGCGGCCGUAACUAUAACGGUCCUAAGGUAGCGAAAUUCCUUGUCGGGUAAGUUCCGACCCGCACGAAAGGCGUAACGAUUUGGGCACUGUCUCAACGAGAGACUCGGUGAAAUCAUAGUACCUGUGAAGAUGCAGGUUACCCGCGACAGGACGGAAAGACCCCGUGGAGCUUUACUGUAGCCUGAUAUUGAAAUUCGGCACAGCUUGUACAGGAUAGGUAGGAGCCUUUGAAACGUGAGCGCUAGCUUACGUGGAGGCGCUGGUGGGAUACUACCCUAGCUGUGUUGGCUUUCUAACCCGCACCACUUAUCGUGGUGGGA